Molecule: ribosomal RNA, 373 nt
Filed under: uncultured bacterium
Lineage: Bacteria
Description: bacterial SSU rRNA
Rfam family: Bacterial small subunit ribosomal RNA
Source: RNAcentral
CCAGACUCCUACGGGAGGCAGCAGUGGGGAAUAUUGCACAAUGGGGGAAACCCUGAUGCAGCGACGCCGCGUGAGUGAAGAAGUAUUUCGGUAUGUAAAGCUCUAUCAGCAGGGAAGAAAAUGACGGUACCUGACUAAGAAGCCCCGGCUAACUACGUGCCAGCAGCCGCGGUAAUACGUAGGGGGCAAGCGUUAUCCGGAUUUACUGGGUAUAAAGGGAGCGUAGGCGGCAAGGUAAGCCAGAAGUGAAAGCCCGCGGCUCAACAGCGGGACUGCUUUUAGAACUAUCUAGCUAGAUUGCAGGAGAGGUAAGUGGAAUUCCUAGUGUAGCGGUGAAAUGCUUAGAUAUUAGGAGGAACACCAGUGGCGAGGG